GUAGGUGGCAAGCGUUGUCCGGAAUUAUUGGGCGUAAAGCGCGCGCAGGCGGCUCUUUAAGUCUGAUGUGAAAGCCCACGGCUCAACUGUGGAGGGUCAUUGGAAACUGGAGAACUUGAGUACAGAAGAGGAAAGCGGAAUUCCACGUGUAGCGGUGAAAUGCGUAGAGAUGUGGAGGAACACCAGUGGCGAAGGCGGCUUUCUGGUCUGUAACUGACGCUGAGGCGCGAAAGCGUGGGGGGAGCAAACAGGAUUAGAUACCCUGGUAGUCCACGCCGUAAACGAUGAGUGCUAAGUGUUAGGGGGUUUCCGCCCCCCCCUUAGUGCUGCAGCUAACGCAUUAAGCACUCCGCCUGGGAGUACGGCCGCAAGGCUG
This 376-nucleotide ribosomal RNA is filed under the name uncultured organism. RNAcentral's name for it is "partial 16S ribosomal RNA". It matches the Rfam family "Bacterial small subunit ribosomal RNA", at positions 527 to 896 of the family's 1533-position model. The record is from RNAcentral.